Non-coding RNA from Pteropus alecto (black flying fox), 119 nucleotides. The record is from Rfam. Lineage: Eukaryota; Metazoa; Chordata; Mammalia; Chiroptera; Pteropodidae.
GUCUAUGGCCAUGCUACCCUGAACAAACCCAAUUCUGUCUGAUCUUGGAAGCUAAGCAGGGUCAGGCCUGGUUAGUACUUGGAUGGGAGACCACCUAGGAAGACUAGGUGCUGUAGGCG